RNAcentral lists this ribosomal RNA (806 nucleotides) under uncultured Pelagibacteraceae bacterium. RNAcentral's name for it is "bacterial SSU rRNA". It matches the Rfam family "Bacterial small subunit ribosomal RNA", at positions 34 to 888 of the family's 1533-position model. Lineage: Bacteria; Pseudomonadati; Pseudomonadota; Alphaproteobacteria; Candidatus Pelagibacterales; Candidatus Pelagibacteraceae. The record is from RNAcentral.
CGCUGGCGGCACGCCUAACACAUGCAAGUCGAACGAAGUAGCAAUACUUAGUGGCAGACGGGUGAGUAACAUGUAGGUAUCUGCCCUUUGGCCUGGAAUAACACGAGGAAACUUGUGCUAAUACCGGAUAAGUCUUUACGGAGAAAGCUUUAUGCACCAUUGGAUGAGCCUGCACUUGAUUAGUUUGUUGGUGGGGUAAUGGCCUACCAAGACUGUGAUCAAUAGCUGAUUUGAGAGGAUGAUCAGCCACAUUGGGACUGAGACACGGCCCAAACUCCUACGGGAGGCAGCAGUGGGGAAUCUUGCACAAUGGAGGAAACUCUGAUGCAGCGAUGCCGCGUGAGUGAAGAAGGCCCUUGGGUUGUAAAGCUCUUUCGUCGGGGAAGAAAAUGACUGUACCCGAAUAAGAAGGUCCGGCUAACUUCGUGCCAGCAGCCGCGGUAAUACGAAGGGACCUAGCGUAGUUCGGAAUUACUGGGCUUAAAGAGUUCGUAGGUGGUUGAAAAAGUUAGUGGUGAAAUCCCAGAGCUUAACUCUGGAACUGCCAUUAAAACUUUUCAGCUAGAGUAUGAUAGAGGAAAGCAGAAUUUCUAGUGUAGAGGUGAAAUUCGUAGAUAUUAGAAAGAAUACCAAUUGCGAAGGCAGCUUUCUGGAUCAUUACUGACACUGAGGAACGAAAGCAUGGGUAGCGAAGAGGAUUAGAUACCCUCGUAGUCCAUGCCGUAAACGAUGUGUGUUAGACGUUGGAAAUUUAUUUUCAGUGUCGCAGGGAAACCGAUAAACACACCGCCUGGGGAGUACGACCG